RNAcentral lists this non-coding RNA (91 nucleotides) under bovine gut metagenome. RNAcentral describes it as "Glycine riboswitch". It matches the Rfam family "Glycine riboswitch aptamer", at positions 9 to 86 of the family's 94-position model. From Rfam's summary of the family: This family represents the bacterial glycine riboswitch. Glycine riboswitches usually consist of two metabolite-binding aptamers domains with similar structures in tandem. The aptamers cooperatively bind glycine to regulate the expression of downstream genes. The record is from RNAcentral.
GCACUCCGGAGAAGUCCAACCGAAUGGAUGCCGAAGGGGCAAGCGGCGCGGAAACGCGCCCGAAUCUCUCAGGCAAAAGGACGGAGGUCAA